This 460-nucleotide ribosomal RNA is filed under the name uncultured Eubacteriales bacterium. RNAcentral describes it as "bacterial SSU rRNA". It matches the Rfam family "Bacterial small subunit ribosomal RNA", at positions 924 to 1382 of the family's 1533-position model. Lineage: Bacteria; Bacillati; Bacillota; Clostridia; Eubacteriales. The record is from RNAcentral.
GACAAGCAGCGGAGCAUGUGGUUAAUUCGAAGCAACGCGAAGAACCUUACCAGGGCUUGACAUGCCGCUGACCGGUUUAGAGAUAGACCUUUAUCCUUCGGGGUACAGCGGACACAGGUGGUGCAUGGUUGUCGUCAGCUCGUGUCGUGAGAUGUUGGGUUAAGUCCCGCAACGAGCGCAACCCUUGUCUUUAGUUGCCAUCAUUAAGUUGGGCACUCUAAAGAGACUGCCGAUGACAAAUCGGAGGAAGGUGGGGAUGACGUCAAAUCAUCAUGCCCUUUAUGUCCUGGGCUACACACGUGCUACAAUGGUCGGUACAACGAGAAGCAAGCCAGCGAUGGCAAGCAAAUCUCUAAAAGCCGAUCCCAGUUCGGAUUGCAGGCUGCAACUCGCCUGCAUGAAGUCGGAGUUGCUAGUAAUCGCGGAUCAGAAUGCCGCGGUGAAUGCGUUCCCGGGUCUU